Long non-coding RNA from Panicum hallii, 667 nucleotides. RefSeq lists it as uncharacterized. The record is from RefSeq and is a predicted model, not a curated record. The transcript is spliced from 3 exons. NCBI's taxonomy places the organism in Eukaryota, Viridiplantae, Streptophyta, Magnoliopsida, Poales, Poaceae.
UCCCAUCCCUUGGUUUGGUUGAAUGGCAUGCGGGCUUGUGUGCGGCGUUGUUCCCUCGCAUGGCGAACAGGAUCAGAGGAAGGGACCAAUCAACUAUGUAGUAGAGAUACACACAGACAUGGUAGCUUGAGCCGGAAAAGUGGUGGAGGAGCUACCCAUAGCUUUGGAGGCUCACCUGAACUCCUUCGCUUGUCCAUUUCCAUCUAGCCAGGUUCCAGACUUUGGCAGCGUGAGAGCGGCCAUGAAGAGCAGAGGGUUGCUGCUGCUCUGCUGCGCGGCAACGCUGGCCGCGCUUCUCUCCCAAGGAGGCCAGGCCGCCGCUUACUUAUUAUGACAUGCCGUCGCCGUCGCCAGCUCCGGCACCAGGCAGCUCCCGACCGACCAGCUCCUCUGCCUCUCCUCCACCAGCCCGGCCCAACACCUUCCCGACGGUGAGCAUACGGAGUGCUGUCGAUCACAAUGCAUUCCUCAACCGAAUUCGGCUUUUGGUUCGUGGUGGUGUUCAUCGACUAUCUGCAGCGCGGUGUCACCCCCGGCAGCCUGCAGCCCCAAGAGUGCGGCGGCGCGGUGCUCGGCGACAGCGUACCGGAAGCGGUGCCUCUUCUUCUGCGGCAAGUGCUGCGCGGCGUGCCUGUGCGUGCCGGCGGGCACCUACGGCAACAAGGCC